This 1804-nucleotide long non-coding RNA is filed under the name Marmota monax (woodchuck). Lineage: Eukaryota; Metazoa; Chordata; Mammalia; Rodentia; Sciuridae. The record is from RNAcentral.
GGGGAAGGCAGUACAAGGAAUAGGCAAUAUUGGGACUGGAAGUGGCUUGAAUGUCAGAUGAUUUUGCCACUUUCCCCUGACUCUGGGCUCUACUCCAGUGGCACAUAGAACAUCCCGCUGGCCAUUUGCUCCUUAAACACUUUCUUCAUGGGGACAUAGAAUCAUAUUUUUUUAAGAACCUAGUACAGUCCUUUGUUGUAUGUGCUCAAUAGAUGUCUUUUUUUUUUUUUUUUUUUAGUUUCUUCCUCUGCCCUCUUAGGAGUUGGGUUUUUUGGCCCAGCUGGUGGCCUCCAGAGGCCGAGGCAGAGGAGUUCAAAGCCAGCCUCAGCAAAAGCAAGUUACUAAGCAACUCAGUGCGACCCUGUCUUUAAAUAAAAAAAUACAAAAUAGGGCUGGGGAUGUGACUCAGUGGCCAAGUGACCCUGAGUGCAAUCCCUGGGACCCCCCUCCCCUCCAAAAAAGAGUUGGGUUUUCCAGAAUUCUUUAAUCAUUCCUCUUUUUACUCUGGGUUCUUUUUGAUUGACAUUCAUUUCCAGGCCUCUCCUACCAGCCUCUUACAACCCAGACCACUAUGAUGAGCUGUAGUUGAAAAGGACUCCAAAAGUAGCAAUCUAUCUUCUACCUUUUAAAUAAGUUUCAUUGCAACUUAACAGUUAUUUACUGAGUAUCUGCUAUGUAGCAGCCCUACUAGGAAUGGUUCAAAAAUUCUCCCUCUUUCUGUAUUUUCUUUACCAGCAAAUGGUAUCAUCAUCUACACAGAAGUCUGGGAGACUUCAUUGGCUCAAGAACACUCAAGCCCUCCAAUAUGGAAAAUUAUAUCAAUUUGAUCUCUACAGGUUUUUUUUUUUUUUUUUAAACACUUGUAUCCGCUUGUCUUCUUUUAGACUUUAUCUUCCCCCUGACCAGUAUUCGAAUUUCUAAUCUGAUCACAUUACUCUCCGGAGUCAGACCCUUCAGUGUCUCCCCAUCAUCUUCAGAAUAAAGCUCAGGAUCUUUAAUGUUAUCUUCAAGGCCUUUCAUGAGCUGGUCCUUGCCCAUUUUUAUAAGUAUACUUCUGCUUACGCUGCUAUAGGUUGUGGUCCCUAAUCCAAAGAUCUGAAAUCCAAAAUCCUCCACAAUAUUGAAAUGACACUGUGAUAGGUGGACUCUCAGGGAGAAAGAGAUCUUUACUAGAUGGAGGCACAGAUCUGUGAGCAAGACCAGUCAUGCUUGUCUGUUUAGUUAGAUGAUCAAAACCUCUAGCAUAUGCUUGUACCAGAUCCAUUGGAACAGAAACCUAAUUAAAAUGUCACCAGAUUAAAAGACCUAAACAAUGUGUUCACAACUGAUUUAUGGUUAGACUGCUUAAUCAAGAAGAAAUAUUCUGAACCCCAAAUAUCAGGUGACUGACAUGGAAUAUAAUUUUCACAAAAGCUGACCCAGGAACCUCCACAUUCCUUCCCAGGAAAAUCCUAUAUCUAGUCAGAGAGCUCAACCAUAGGUACAUUGCUCCUCUUCUCUGAGAGGCAAGAGGUGUCUGCACUCUGCCUUUUGAGUGAGUAUGUAUACCUUUGCUUGGCUGUCCUUUGGUAAAUCUUUGCUUGUGCUUGCUUUGCUUUUGAUCCAUCCUGAAAUUCUUUCCAAUGGCAUAAGUGAAAAACUUGACUGGGCUGAGUUGAGAUUCUACUGUCCCCUUGGGAGAACCUUGUCUUAAAUGAGAACACCACAGGUGGAAAAUUGCAUAUCUACCUUCAUGUGAUGUGUCACAGUCAAAAUGCAGGUAUAAAAUUAUUGUACAAAAUUACCUUUAGGCGAUGUGUAUAAG